RNAcentral lists this ribosomal RNA (1414 nucleotides) under metagenome. Its description in RNAcentral is "bacterial LSU rRNA". It matches the Rfam family "Bacterial large subunit ribosomal RNA", at positions 1530 to 2925 of the family's 2925-position model. The record is from RNAcentral.
UCUUAGGCAAAUCCGGGAUCACUUACGCCGAGCACCGAGACGAGUCCUAUGAGGACGAAGUGACUGACACCACGCUUCCAGGAAAAGCCACUAAGCUUCAGCUUAAGAAAAACCGUACCGCAAACCGACACAGGUAGGCAGGGUGAGAAUCCCAAGGCGCUUGAGAGAACUCGGGUGAAGGAACUAGGCAAAAUGGCACCGUAACUUCGGGAGAAGGUGCGCCCUUUGGUGUGGUCACGUGCGUGACUGAGCAUCGAAGGGUCGCAGUAACCUGGCCGCUGCGACUGUUUAUCAAAAACACAGCACUCUGCAAACACGAAAGUGGACGUAUAGGGUGUGACGCCUGCCCGGUGCUGGAAGGUUAAUUGAUGGGGUCAGCCGCAAGGCGAAGCUCUUGAUCGAAGCCCCAGUAAACGGCGGCCGUAACGAUAGCGGUCCUAAGGUAGCGAAAUUCCUUGUCGGGUAAGUUCCGACCUGCACGAAUGGCGUAACGACAGCGGCGCUGUCUCCACCCGAGACUCAGUGAAAUUGAAAUCGCUGUGAAGAUGCAGCGUUCCCGCGGCAAGACGGAAAGACCCCGUGAACCUUUACUAUAGCUUUACACUGAACGUUGAGUUCUACUGUGUAGGAUAGGUGGGAGGCUAUGAAACCAGGACGCUAGUUCUGGUGGAGCCAUCCUUGAAAUACCACCCUGAAGUGCUUGACGUUCUAACCUAGGCCCGUAAUCCGGGUCAGGGACCGUGUAUGGUGGGUAGUUUGACUGGGGCGGUCUCCUCCCAAAGAGUAACGGAGGAGCACGAAGGUACGCUCAGCGCGGUCGGACAUCGCGCACUGUGUGCAAAGGCAUAAGCGUGCUUGACUGCGAGAUCGACGGAUCAAGCAGGUACGAAAGUAGGUCUUAGUGAUCCGGUGGUUCUGUAUGGAAGGGCCAUCGCUCAACGGAUAAAAGGUACUCCGGGGAUAACAGGCUGAUACCGCCCAAGAGUUCAUAUCGACGGCGGUGUUUGGCACCUCGAUGUCGGCUCAUCACAUCCUGGGGCUGUAGCCGGUCCCAAGGGUAUGGCUGUUCGCCAUUUAAAGUGGUACGCGAGCUGGGUUCAGAACGUCGUGAGACAUUUCGGUCCCUAUCUGUCGUGGGCGUUGGAGAUUUGAGGGGGGCUGCUCCUAGUACGAGAGGACCGGAGUGGACGUUCCGCUGGUGUUCGGGUUGUCAUGCCCAUGGCAUUGCCCGGUAGCUACGAACGGAAGUGAUAACCGCUGAAAGCAUCUAAGCGGGAAGCACGCCCCAAGAUGAGAUCUCCCGAGAGCUUGACUCUCCUAAAGACACCAUCAAGACUAGGUGGUUGAUAGGUCAGGUGUGGAAGCGCAGCAAUGCGUUGAGCUAACUGAUACUAAUGAGCCGUGAGGCUUGAUC